Lagenorhynchus albirostris (white-beaked dolphin) is the source of this 1920-nucleotide RNA transcript. RefSeq lists it as uncharacterized. Lineage: Eukaryota; Metazoa; Chordata; Mammalia; Artiodactyla; Delphinidae. The transcript has 4 exons. The record is from RefSeq and is a predicted model, not a curated record.
AGUACCGGGUCCCUCGCAGCGGGGGACGCGCCUUCCCGCCUGCCGCGCAGGGCCCGGAGCGUGCGCAGUGCCGCGGUGCAGCUCCUCAACAUGGCUUCGAGCGUGCGCGGGGCUCCGGCCGCCGGAAGUGCGGCGGCUGGCUCCCGGGCGCGGCAGAGGCCGACUCACCCAACCAGCCACCCAACGGCCCGCUCUUCCUCUUUAACUUAGGGGAGCGGAGGGCGGGGCGUGAAGGCAGCGUGGGCGUCGGCCUUUUCGUCCGGUAAAAUCCUAGGCCAGCCUCAGGCGCCGGAGCCACUUCCGGAGCAAAUGUCAAGCCUCGAGAGGGCGGCUGGAGAGGCGCGCGCGGCGCCGGCGGGUCGGCGGCCUGGGGAGGACCAGGAGGUCUGGGAGGGCGGGUCCGCGGCUGCAGCUCACGGCCCUCGGCCCCUCAUCCCAGGCGGCCACGCGCUACUAAUGAGGAUUCGCUGGCUUUUUUCCCGACUCGCGCCGGCCGACCGAAUUCUGUGCUCUCUGUUCCGUAGUAGUUCUACCUCCCGCAGAAGACUUAAGCCGUCAGGUGGGUAGGAGCGCACACAGCGGAUUGUAGGAAUAGAAUAUUUUCUUGGAGGCCAUGGACAAAUCCGUGGUUGGGAUUGAUCUGUAGAGAGACUUCUGGGUGCAGAGGACAUACGCUUAGAAAGCUACGUUCUCCACCUCUUGCGCCACCCCUCCACACACACCCUUAAGGCUCCGGGCAGAGCUAAAAGUCCUCGAGUCUGGCUUUUUCAACUAGAAAUUGUAGCAACACCUGACGGAUGUAUUCAUCUCUUAGCUUUGGAGACAUAUCUGAGCUCCAAGUCCCACUCCACCACCUAACACCUUGUACGCUCUUUAAUUGUACCUGGGCCCUUGUUUCUUCAUUGUUGUAUUAAAAAGAAUAUAUCAAGUUUUACUUGUUGCCAGGAUCUUCUCUUUCAGUAGGAGUCACCGAAGUUCGAAGUUACUUGAAGUUACCUUGUAUUCACCUCAGAAAGAAAGUACCCCCAGGCCAGUGGUGUGUUGAAGGUGACUUGAACAGUCUCGUUAAAAUUGAGUCCCCCGGAGCAGAAGAGCAGGGUUGAUUGAUUCAGCAGCUCAGUGAUGUCAUUAGGGGAAACCAGCCACCAUGCUGUGAAGAAGCCCAAGCGGCCACAUGGACAGACCCAUGUGCAGGGAAACCACCAGCCAGCACUGAACAGCCAGCCGUGUGAGGUGUGCUAUCUUGGAAGUGGAUCCUCCAGCCUCAAGCUACCCCACUGACACCAUGUGAAGCAGAGGAGAGCCGUUCUAUGAGGCACUAAGUUUUGGGGUGGUUUGUUAUGCGGCACUAGACAGCUGGAACAGGGGUGCACUCUGGAAAGAACUGUGUUUCCUCAGUGCUUUCUCUGGUGUCUUACUCUUUUUGUCAUUGGAUUAGUUAGGUAUCAAGGGCAAGGCCUAAAGUGAGGAAAGAGUUGAAGCCUGAAAGGAAUUUUAUUGUUUAGUUCAACUUAUUCGCUGUCUGGGAUUUCUAUAUGGGAUUUGGGGGUUCAUGAUUUAUAAUAACAAGCAGUGAUUUUGCACAUCUCCCUUGAGAAGUUGCAGUAGGAGAUGGCUGGUUGUGAUUUGGAUGUUCAGGAUCCAGGGAAAAUAAUCAAUGACAACUAUCUACUCCCUUUUUACUUAAAGUACAGCCCACCCUGGAAGGAGUAAUCCUUGUUAAGGCAUCUUCUUAGCCGUUUUGCCUAUUCUAGGCACCAGGAUCUUGACUCGCUGUCAGAAGGGUCCACUCAGCUCAAUCGCUCUACGCGGCUUGUGGGAUCUUAGUUCCCUGACCAGGGAUCAAACCCGCACCCCCUGCAGUGGAAGCAUGGAGUCUUAACCACUGGACCACCAGUGAAGUCCCCAAGGCUCAAAGAG